This 406-nucleotide ribosomal RNA is filed under the name uncultured bacterium. RNAcentral's name for it is "partial 16S ribosomal RNA". It matches the Rfam family "Bacterial small subunit ribosomal RNA", at positions 30 to 526 of the family's 1533-position model. The record is from RNAcentral.
AUUGAACGCUGGCGGCAGGCCUAACACAUGCAAGUCGAGCGAGUGGCGGACGGGUGAGUAAUGUCUGGGAAACUGCUCGAUGGAGGGGGAUAAAUAAGGGAAACGGUAGCUAACACCGCAUACCAUCAGAUGUGCCCAGAUGGGUUUAGCUUGAAGGUGGGGUAACGGCGCACCUAGGACACGCUCCAUAGCUGGUAUGAGAGGAUGAUCAGCCACACUGGAACUGAGACACGGUCCAGACUCCUACGUGAGGCAGCAGUGGGGAAUAUUGCACAAUGGGCGCAAGCCUGAUGCAGCCAUGCCGCGUGUAUGAAGAAGGCCUUCGGGUUGUAAAGUACUUUCAGCCCGUAGGCGUUACUCACAGAAGAAGCACCGGCUAACUCCGUGCCAGCAGCCGCGGUAAUAC